CACCUCAUUUCCCCCCAAACCCCGUCGCCCCCUCAGACUUGUCUGGAUCCCAUCAGAAAUGUGUUAAUCACAGAGAAAUGACAUACAUCUCUACUCUGAGGUACGUAUAAAUUUAGCAUGACAUGGCGAGAGACCCAGUGCUCCACACUCAGCAGAAGGUUGUGCUUGCUGGCAGCCCGGGGAGCUUCGAGUCUCUCUGUGAUGCCCGGGGCUCUGGCGAUAACCUCCAGCAGCGGCUCCCGCAGCUUCCCAGCCCUGAAGCUGUGCCCUUAGUGGGCGUUAAGUUUCUUUUGCUUGGCUUUUCUAUGUGAAAGUAAUAGUUAAUGCUUCUGUUAGGAGGGAAAACUCCACUUUGUCUUUUCUUUUUCCCCUGGCAAGAGGAGGAGUGACGAUGGAAAGCAGUUUUCCAAACUUCCUGAAGCGUGGUGUGGUCACAUGCUGGGGGCUGUUUUGUACGGAAGGCACGGCCAGUCGGUACAACUGCGUGUAGUAGUCGGAAUCUGGUCUGAGAGAUGCGCAGAGCUGCCAGCCGUGGAAGGACAUGCUUCUUCAAGGCCUGGGGCAGAGGCGGAGGGAGGAUUGCUGGCUGCCUUUCCCGAGUUGUUCCCGAGGCAGGACUGCUCUUGGGAAUCAGGCACCCAAACCAGGCUGGGAUUCCUGGAAGAGAGCUCGCUGGUGUCCUGUUGAACUUGGAUUUGGAGCUUACAGCCUCCCUUCAAACCCAGGGUAUCCAUUGUUUGGGACCAGUGCGCGCUGUGUGGAAAUGAAGGGUGGGACUGCAGGGGAGAGUUUCCAGUACCUGCUGAGUGCACGAAUCCUGCUCGGCUCUCGCAGCGCUGAGCUCUUCCCGGACAUCCCCUGGAGGACUUUCCUCUCCGCCUCCCUCGAAGCACCGUUCCUGCGCUAGUCAGGUUCGUGCCCCACAUUCGCGCCGUUCCAAGCGGCAGCGCCCCAUCCCCCUGAGGUUGUCUCAAAGCCAUUCUCCAUCCAGCAGCGCCGGCCCACGUGAUGGGUGAAUCCAGGUCAGAGAGCACGGUCCCUUCACAUCUGCUCGAUGCUUGCUGCUGACAUUUUCAUUCAGCCUGCCUGUACUGGGCAGCGAUGGAGGUCUAUGAAGGGGGGACAGAAACAUCUUUCUGCUGGGGGAGGACAAUGGCAGGACCUCCCAGUAACUGCAGCUGUGUCGGGGCUCUGAAUACAACAGGCCACUCUUGGCAGUGCUACUGAGGUCUGGCUCUUGGAAAGCAGCACUGUGAUUCAGCUGUCACUCAGCUCCCAGCAAAGGGAGCUUUGAAAAGGCGCCUCUGCUGCUCUCCUGGAGUAGCAAAUAUUUCCUAGGCCUCUGCUGCUGAAUGGGAGAGAUUGCCAUUGUCCUUCGUCCCCUCUCAGGCUUGCUGGGCUUGCUCUAAAUGGGCCUUUUGCGAGGGAACAAUAAGCCCGGCGAAGGGUCCAGGUUGCACAUGUCUGAGCAGUGAGAACACUCGAGCACUUGUUCAUUGGCUCCCGUGAUGUGAAAGGCUGCGCUGCCGGGAGCAGGUUUAUUUUCCAGCCACAGCUGUGGGGUUGUUUUCUCUCUCAGGUUGUGCUGCUCUGGGUGUACAUCUGCAUGUUUCACCUCAUUUCCUAGAAAAUGUCUUUGCCCCAAGACUUCCUUUGGCCUCAGAAAUCUGUUUCCUUUUGUCGCUGGAGCUGUGUGAUGUUGCAGUGAAACCACAAGCCAGGUGGGACCAGCCGCUUUCACAUCUCGCUGCUGUGACAAAGCGGGGUUUGACUGAGUAUCCCCAGCCUUGCAUCGCCGUGUGGUUUUGUGGCAAAACCACACGCACCUCUCUGAGUCAGACCCACGGAAAAGCCAUGGCUUCAGCUGAGGUUCACAAUGAUUUGGGGGUUAAUUCUGGUAGAAGGUGUUCCUCAGUAAUCCGUGUGGAGGCAAAAGGUAAAAUUUUCUGGGCCCACACAACAUUUUCUAGUUUUCCUCAGACCUCCUCAUGAAACUUUCAGCAUCACAGGAUUAGAUGCUGCUUUUUGAAUAUGACUGAUGUUAUUCCUGUUCUCUUCCUUCCCCAGCUGGAAUGUUUUUUUGUGAGUACAUCAUUGAUUAGUGGGCACGUAGAAGUAUACUGAAGCUUUUAUUUAAAGGGAAAAAGGAUUAGGUCCUACUGGGAAAGAAUUGGGUUCAGUCCCUCACUGGAAGAAGGGUCAAUAUGCUGUUUAGUGGAAUAGAGUAAAACCUUACGGAGAGACAAAUAUGAACACGUCCAGUUACAAUCUUGUCAUCUGAAAACCAGAAAAGGAGCCGUAAUGGUCUUUGGAUCACUUCAAAAAAAUCAGUUCGUUUUUAAACCCCACGCAGAUCCCAAGUAUAUAGUAAUGAAUUCAUUUCCUCCACCUGCAAUUCACUUUUUUAGGGGGUCUUAUAACAAUGACCCGUCUAGAAGUGAUGUAAGACCAAGGAGCAGCGUUCAGUGACUCAGAGCCUUGCUCCCCUAGAGCGCAGCUGACACGGUUUGCUUUGUUUUUCUGACAUCGCAUGUAUAGAGAAUAGAGCACUUUGCAGUAAACGUGGCCUCUGCUUACAUACGCCUACGAAUUAAUGCCAGCUUUUAUUUUAAAAUGCUAUCAGAAAAAUGAGUUCUUUGUUCAGUUCUGUCAUCUGAUUUUCCUCCUGUGCUGGUCUUACUCUGGUGCAGUUUGCAUUGGAGCUUUUCCGGAGUUAGGAAUGUGAAAGGCCAGGCGAUGGCUCCUUUGCAAGGGACCCAACUGCAGCCUGUCGCGAAAAGAAGUUCACAAAAAGGAGGUGACCUCACCCCAGCUGCCAGUCCAGGGGUUUGCGCUGUGCCUUGUCCUCCAAGUGCCAGUGAGGAAAAUCUCUUCGGAAGUUUCUGCCUUGCUCAUCCCAUUUACUGAAACUAAAUUUCAGGAAGCUAAUCGGGCAGAGAGUGCAAAGGAUGAAAUGUUAGAAAUCAAAUUAAUGAAGCUGAAUCACCAAUUUGCGACCUAGAAGACUAUUAGGAGUGGUCAGAAUUAAUUAACUCUCCUUUGCAAUGCUUCAGAGGAAGCCAGCGAGCUAGGCACAGAGACGCAAAGGACAUCAAUGGGAUCUGACUACCUGGAGCCCUGUGAAGAAACGCAGCGAGGCUGCUCUCUGGCCCGAGCCUGGGCUCCGAGGGCUGCUUAUGAAACACGGUCAGCAGGAGCAGGAGGGAGAGUUGCCAUGCUCCCAUCUCGUGUCCUGCUCGCAUGCAGGGCUGGGCUCCGUCUCCCAGUGCCGCAGCCAUCACCAGACACAGAGAAACUCUGACGCAGUGUCUUGCUCAUGUAUUUUGCUGAAUUAGUCAAAACCAGGUCUGAACCCUAAGCUCUUCCAGGGAAAGAUGAUACAGGUGUCGAGCUGUAGCUUCUUUCCUUUCAAAGGUCGGAGUUUUAGACAGCUCAGUCUGGUCGUUGCCAAAAUAAGUCAGUCAUUGGGGGUGCUCAGUGAUAGGAAGCCAACUUAUCAACUGAUUUGAAGUGAAUGUGAAAGGCGAUACCCACUUUAGUAAUUUUGGAGAAUUGUGAAGAAAAUGAGUGUUUUCCUCACCAUUCUUUUUGGGGCAAAUAUGGAAGGAAGAAGAUAUCUAAUGGUGUUUAUUUUCACUAACCAGAAAUGCAGUGUUUCUUCUUGAGCUGAUAAACUCUUCUGUAUGCUAAACAGCCUGUGGGAGGAAGGAAGGGGAGGGAAAGAUUGGUGCAGAGAUGGCUUCAGGUCCUUGAAUAAUGCAUUGUUCACUAAAUUGACUGUCCGAUCAGGAAAUAGUCCACUGUAUGUGAUCAACAUCGACAUUGCUAGCUGGACAGCUUACAAAGAAGCAUUUUGGAAUUAAUUUGAUGAUUAUGAAAAUGUCUUAGAUCCUUUGCUGAAAGCUAAAUAAACACAAUUAAAAUAUU
Long non-coding RNA from Cygnus atratus (black swan), 3927 nucleotides. RefSeq lists it as uncharacterized. The record is from RefSeq and is a predicted model, not a curated record. NCBI's taxonomy places the organism in Eukaryota, Metazoa, Chordata, Aves, Anseriformes, Anatidae. The transcript has 2 exons.